RNAcentral lists this unclassified non-coding RNA (328 nucleotides) under soil metagenome. RNAcentral's name for it is "partial contains 5.8S ribosomal RNA, internal transcribed spacer 2, and large subunit ribosomal RNA". The stretch from base 1 to 120 matches the Rfam family "5.8S ribosomal RNA", at positions 35 to 154 of the family's 154-position model. The record is from RNAcentral.
GAUGAAGAACGUAGCGAAAUGCGAUAAGUAAUGUGAAUUGCAGAAUUCAGUGAAUCAUCGAAUCUUUGAACGCACAUUGCGCCCCUUGGUAUUCCGGGGGGCAUGCCCGUUCGAGCGUCAUUACACCCAUCAAGCUCAGCUUGGUGUUGGGGCCUGCUGCACUGGCAGCCCUUAAAAUCAGUGGCGGCGCCAUCUGGCUCUAAGCGUAGUAAUUCUUCUCGCUAUGGAGUCCUGGUGGAUGCUUGCCAUCAACCCCCAAUUUUUCUAUGGUUGACCUCGGAUCAGGUAGGGAUACCCGCUGAACUUAAGCAUAUCAAUAAGCGGAGGA